AAGUCGAGGGGCAGCGGGGAGUAGCAAUACUCCGCCGGCGACCGGCGCACGGGUGAGUAACACGUAUCCAACCUGCCGUCUACUCUUGGACAGCCUUCUGAAAGGGAGAUUAAUACAAGAUGUUAUCAUGAGUAAGCAUUUUCGCAUGAUUAAAGGUAUUCCGGUAGACGAUGGGGAUGCGUUCCAUUAGAUAGUAGGCGGGGUAACGGCCCACCUAGUCUUCGAUGGAUAGGGGUUCUGAGAGGAAGGUCCCCACAUUGGAACUGAGACACGGUCCAAACUCC
RNAcentral lists this ribosomal RNA (284 nucleotides) under uncultured Bacteroides sp. RNAcentral describes it as "partial 16S ribosomal RNA". It matches the Rfam family "Bacterial small subunit ribosomal RNA", at positions 59 to 339 of the family's 1533-position model. The record is from RNAcentral. Lineage: Bacteria; Pseudomonadati; Bacteroidota; Bacteroidia; Bacteroidales; Bacteroidaceae.